CCUGCCCCUGGGAGCUUUGCAGCUGUGUCACAAGUGCGUCAGCAGGUGGCAGCAAGGAGAGAGGUCAUGUCUGUGCUCCAUGUUCUGACCUAUGAAUAUCUGAAUGAUUAGCAGCCUAAACUU
RNAcentral lists this small nucleolar RNA (123 nucleotides) under Meriones unguiculatus (Mongolian gerbil). RNAcentral's name for it is "Small nucleolar RNA SNORA17 (ENSMUGG00000006953.1)". It matches the Rfam family "Small nucleolar RNA SNORA17". From Rfam's summary of the family: snoRNA ACA 17 belongs to the H/ACA family of snoRNAs and is predicted to guide pseudouridylation of the 28S rRNA at positions U4659 and U4598. It shares the same host gene together with ACA43. Lineage: Eukaryota; Metazoa; Chordata; Mammalia; Rodentia; Muridae. The record is from RNAcentral.